Molecule: ribosomal RNA, 253 nt
Filed under: uncultured bacterium
Lineage: Bacteria
Description: partial 16S ribosomal RNA
Rfam family: Bacterial small subunit ribosomal RNA
Source: RNAcentral
GACAGAGGCCUCAAGCGUUAGGCGGAAUCACUGGGCUUAAAGCGUGUGUAGGCGGACGCCUAAGUACCUUGUGAAAUCCCACGGCUCACCCGUGGAACGGCUGGGUAUACUGGGCGUCUUGGGCCAACUAGGGGCAACUGGAACAAGCGGUGGAGCGGUGAAAUGCGUAGAUAUCGGGAGGAACACCAAUGGCGAAGGCAGCUUGCUGGGACGGUACUGACGCUGAGGCGCGAAAGCGUGGGGAGCAAACAGG